CUGGCGGCACACGACUGGCGCAGGUGGGUCACCACCGGGGAGUGACGUCGGGGUGCAUCGCCCGCCUGGGUGCGCCUC
RNAcentral lists this non-coding RNA (78 nucleotides) under Janibacter melonis. RNAcentral describes it as "ZTP sequence". It matches the Rfam family "ZMP/ZTP riboswitch aptamer (pfl RNA motif)". Rfam says of the family: Previously known as pfl RNA. The record is from Rfam by way of RNAcentral. Lineage: Bacteria; Bacillati; Actinomycetota; Actinomycetes; Micrococcales; Intrasporangiaceae.